GAGGAGCUUGCUCCUUCGACGUUAGCGGCGGACGGGUGAGUAACACGUAGGUAACCUACCUAUAAGACUGGGAUAACUUCGGGAAACCGGAGCUAAUACCGGAUAAUAUUUCGAACCGCAUGGUUCGAUAGUGAAAGAUGGCUUUGCUAUCACUUAUAGAUGGACCUGCGCCGUAUUAGCUAGUUGGUAAGUGAACGGCUUACCAAGGCAACGAUACGUAGCCGACCUGAGAGGGUGAUCGGCCACACUGGAACUGAGACACGGUCCAGACUCCUACGGGAGGCAGCAGUAGGGAAUCUUCCGCAAUGGGCGAAAGCCUGACGGAGCAACGCCGCGUGAGUGAUGAAGGUCUUCGGAUCGUAAAACUCUGUUAUUAGGGAAGAA
This 384-nucleotide ribosomal RNA is filed under the name uncultured Staphylococcus sp. Its description in RNAcentral is "bacterial SSU rRNA". It matches the Rfam family "Bacterial small subunit ribosomal RNA", at positions 73 to 449 of the family's 1533-position model. Lineage: Bacteria; Bacillati; Bacillota; Bacilli; Caryophanales; Staphylococcaceae. The record is from RNAcentral.